ACACGACUACAUUAGAUACCCGCGUAGUCCUAGCCGUAAACGAUACUCGCUAGGUGUCGGCCACGGUGCGACCGUUGUCGGUGCCGUAGGGAAGCCGUGAAGCGAGCCACCUGGGAAGUACGGCCGCAAGGCUGAAGCUUAAAGGAAUUGGCGGGGGAGCACCACAACGGGUGGAGCUUGCGGUUUAAUUGGAUUCAACGCCGGAAAUCUUACCGGGACCGACAGCAACAUGAAGGCCAGGCUGAAGACUUUGCCGGAUUAGCUG
RNAcentral lists this ribosomal RNA (265 nucleotides) under uncultured archaeon. RNAcentral describes it as "partial 16S ribosomal RNA". It matches the Rfam family "Archaeal small subunit ribosomal RNA", at positions 717 to 982 of the family's 1478-position model. The record is from RNAcentral.